UACGAAGGGGGCUAGCGUUGCUCGGAAUCACUGGGCGUAAAGCGCGUGUAGGCGGCCCACUAAGUCUGAUGUGAAAGCCCGGGGCUCACCCCCGGAAGUGCAUUGGAAACUGGUGGACUCGAGUCCCGGAGAGGAGAGUGGAAUUCCUGGUGUAGCGGUGAAAUGCGUAGAUAUCGGGAGGAACACCAGUGGCGAAGGCGGUUGCCUGGAGCUUUGCUGACGCUGAGGCGCGAAAGCGUGGGGAGCGAACAGG
Molecule: ribosomal RNA, 253 nt
Filed under: uncultured bacterium
Lineage: Bacteria
Description: partial 16S ribosomal RNA
Rfam family: Bacterial small subunit ribosomal RNA
Source: RNAcentral